RNAcentral lists this ribosomal RNA (216 nucleotides) under uncultured bacterium. Its description in RNAcentral is "partial 16S ribosomal RNA". It matches the Rfam family "Bacterial small subunit ribosomal RNA", at positions 28 to 231 of the family's 1533-position model. The record is from RNAcentral.
GAUGAACGCUGGCGGCGUGCUUAAUACAUGCAAGUCGAACGAGAGUACCUUGUAGCAAUACGGGGCGCUCUAGUGGCGAAUGGGUGCGUAACACGUAGGUGACCUGCCCCGAAGUGUGGAAUAACAGUUCGAAGGACUGCUAAUACCGCAUGUGGUCCUGGAGGUUAGAGGCUCCGGUCUAAAGCUGCUCGCAAGAGUGGCGCUUCGGGAGGGGCC